RNAcentral lists this non-coding RNA (23 nucleotides) under Cricetulus griseus (Chinese hamster). The record is from RNAcentral. Lineage: Eukaryota; Metazoa; Chordata; Mammalia; Rodentia; Cricetidae.
GCCCCAGGGUGAGAAAGUCCAAG